This is a non-coding RNA of Carica papaya (papaya), 1939 nucleotides long. Lineage: Eukaryota; Viridiplantae; Streptophyta; Magnoliopsida; Brassicales; Caricaceae. The record is from RefSeq and is a predicted model, not a curated record.
UUAAAAGCAAACUGACCGUGCGAUUCUCCUCUUCAGACCACCUUCUUCCUUUCUUUUACUUUCAAAAAGUUUUCUACGUUCUUUGUUUUCAGAUCUGGCCUUGCCCAGAGAAAAGAAGAGAGAUACAAGCACAAAAGAGAGAGAGAAAAACAGGAAAAAGACAGAAACGACCAGACAUGGAUCUGAAACCCCCCCCAUUCUCUUCAAUGUGGAGAGGGAAAGAAAAGAAUAUCAGAAAGAGGUAAGGAAGAAGAUGAUAGAAAACAAAUUAGAAUGGUCAUCGUUCUACCAUUCUUUUUCUUCUUCAGUUUCUUGAGAGCAAAGAACCAAAUAGAGAAAGAAAAGAAGAACAAAGAAAGAAGGAAGAAGAAGAUCGAAAAGAAGAUAGAUGGGUUUCUCUUAAAGACCCAACACUACUUGGUCAUUCUGUUAAAUUUCAAUCUCUCUUGUUCACAAGCCUUGCCCAGAGAGAAGUUGAGAAGUACGAGCAUAGCAGAGAGAGAAAAAGGGGAAAAAGACAGAAACGAGCAGACAUGGAUCUGAAACCCCUCCAUUCUCUUCAAUGUGGAGAGGGAAAUAAAAGAAUAUCAGAAAGAGGUAAGGAAGAAGAUGAUAGAAAAAAAAUUAGAAUGGUCAUCUUUCUACCAUUCUAUUUCUUUUUCAGUUUCUUGAGAGCAAAGAAUCAAACAGAGAAAGAAAAGAAGAACAAAGAAAGAAGGAAAAAAGAAGAUCGAAAAGAAGAUAGAUAGGUUUCUCUUAAAGACCCAACAGUAUUGAAAGAUUCAAUCUCUUUCCCACAAGCCAUGGGCAGAGAGGAGAGAAAUACAAGCAUAACAGAGGGAGAGAACGGGGAAAAAGAUAGGAAAGAACAGACAUGGGUCUGAAACUCUUCGUUCUCUUCAAUGUCGGGAGGGAAAGAAGCGAAUAUCGGAAAGAGAUGAGGAAGAAGAAGAUAGAAAACAAGAUUAAAAUGGUUCCUCCUAUCAUUCUUUUUCUUCUUCAGUUUCUUGAGAGCGAAGAAUCAAAUAGAGAAAGAAAAGAAGAACAAAGAAAGAAGGAAGAAGAAGAUCGAAAAGAAGAUAGAUGGGUUUCUCUUAAAGACCCAACACUACUUAGUCAUUCUGUUAAAUUUCAAUCUCUCUUGUUCACAAGCCUUGCCCAGAGAGAAGGUGAGAAGUACGAGCAUAACGGAGAGAGAAAAAGGGGAAAAAAUCAGGAACGAGCAGACAUGGAUCUGAGACUCUCCAUUCUCUUCAAUGUGGAGACGGAAAGAAAAGAAUAUCAGAAAGAGGUAAGGAAGAAGAUGAUAGAAAACAAAUUAAACUGUCCUCUUUCUUCCAUUCUAUUUCUUUUUCAGUUUAUUGGGAGUAAAGAGCCGAAUAGAGAAAGAAAAGAAGAGCAAAGAAAGAGGGAAGAAGAAGAUCGAAAGAAGAGAUAUGUCUUUCUCUUCAAAGACCCAACGGUAGCCGGAGUAUGAUGAGAUGUUCCCUUCACUAUUCAGUGAUCAUCCUAAUAUAUUUCUUCCACACCUGUCGAUAUGGGCUAGUGAAUUUUGGCACUGAAAUAGCAUGAAAGGUCCGCAGACGGGAAGCUGAGAACUUGCUCAAUUCCAAUUGGUGGCUUCCUGAAACACUCAUAUGAUGAGAUGUUCCCUUCACUAUUCAGUGAUCAUCCUAAUAUAUUUCCUCCACAUCUGUCGACAUGAGCUAGUGAACUUUGGCACUGAAAUAGCAUGAAAGGUAUGUCCGCAGACGGGAAGCCGAGAACUUGCUCAAUUCCAGUUGGUGGCUUCCUGAAACACUCAGUAUCUCUUCUCUCUCUCUCUCUCUUUCAUCAUUCUUAAACUUAAUCUUCAAUCGUAGAAUGCGAUUGAAUGAUUACGUCAGUUGCUUGAAAGUAACUUGUUUACUAUUUGCAAAAUAAUAUGCACUCGUUAUAA